RNAcentral lists this ribosomal RNA (458 nucleotides) under uncultured bacterium. RNAcentral describes it as "partial 16S ribosomal RNA". It matches the Rfam family "Bacterial small subunit ribosomal RNA", at positions 338 to 795 of the family's 1533-position model. The record is from RNAcentral.
CCUACGGUGGCAGCAGUGAGGAAUAUUGGUCAAUGGGCGGAAGCCUGAACCAGCCAAGUAGCGUGCAGGAUGACGGCCCUACGGGUUGUAAACUGCUUUUAUACGGGAAUAACGCGCCUUACGUGUAGGGCUUUGCAUGUACCGUAUGAAUAAGGACCGGCUAAUUCCGUGCCAGCAGCCGCGGUAAUACGGAAGGUCCGGGCGUUAUCCGGAUUUAUUGGGUUUAAAGGGUGCGUAGGCGGAAUAUCAAGUCAGCGGUAAAAAUUCGGGGCUCAACCCCGUCGUGCCGUUGAAACUGAUGUUCUUGAGUGGGCGAGAAGUAUGCGGAAUGCGUGGUGUAGCGGUGAAAUGCAUAGAUAUCACGCAGAACUCCGAUUGCGAAGGUAGCAUACCGGCGCCCAACUGACGCUGAAGCACGAAAGCGUGGGUAUCGAACAGGAUUAGAUACCCCAGUAGUC